RNAcentral lists this transfer RNA (64 nucleotides) under Otolemur garnettii (small-eared galago). It matches the Rfam family "tRNA", at positions 5 to 66 of the family's 71-position model. From Rfam's summary of the family: Transfer RNA (tRNA) molecules are approximately 80 nucleotides in length. Their secondary structure includes four short double-helical elements and three loops (D, anti-codon, and T loops). Further hydrogen bonds mediate the characteristic L-shaped molecular structure. tRNAs have two regions of fundamental functional importance: the anti-codon, which is responsible for specific mRNA codon recognition, and the 3' end, to which the tRNAs corresponding amino acid is attached (by aminoacyl-tRNA synthetases). tRNAs cope with the degeneracy of the genetic code in two manners: having more than one tRNA (with a specific anti-codon) for a particular amino acid; and 'wobble' base-pairing, i.e. permitting non-standard base-pairing at the 3rd anti-codon position. The record is from Rfam by way of RNAcentral. Lineage: Eukaryota; Metazoa; Chordata; Mammalia; Primates; Galagidae.
GGGUGGCUCAGUGGGUAGAGUGUCAGCCCCAUAUACUGAGGGUUGCAGGUUCAAACCCUGCUCC